Acanthosepion pharaonis is the source of this 113-nucleotide non-coding RNA. NCBI's taxonomy places the organism in Eukaryota, Metazoa, Mollusca, Cephalopoda, Sepiida, Sepiidae. The record is from the annotation of a GenBank genome assembly.
AACGGCCACAUCACGGUGAAACAACCAUUCACGUAUGACCAUCGCAGUUAAGCAACGUCAAGCCUGGUCAGUACCUAGAUGGGUGACCGCUUAGGAAUACCAGGUGCUGCAAG